AUGAACGCUAGCGGCAGGCUUAACACAUGCAAGUCGAACGGUAACAUAGAAGCUUGCUUCUGAUGACGAGUGGCGCACGGGUGCGUAACGCGUAUGCAACCUACCUUUUACAGAGGGAUAGCCCAGAGAAAUUUGGAUUAACACCUCAUAGUAUUAUUGAUUGGCAUCGAUUAAUAAUUAAAACUACGGUGGUAAAAGAUGGGCAUGCGUUCUAUUAGCUAGUUGGUGUGGUAACGGCAUACCAAGGCAACAAUAGAUAGGGGCCCUGAGAGGGGGAUCCCCCACACUGGUACUGAGACACGGACCAGACUCCUACGGGAGGCAGCAGUGAGGAAUAUUGGUCAAUGGAGGGAACUCUGAACCAGCCAUGCCGCGUGCAGGAUGACUGCCCUAUGGGUUGUAAACUGCUUUUAUACAGGAAGAAACACUAGUACGUGUACUAGCUUGACGGUACUGUAAGAAUAAGGAUCGGCUAACUCCGUG
This 483-nucleotide ribosomal RNA is filed under the name uncultured bacterium. RNAcentral describes it as "bacterial SSU rRNA". It matches the Rfam family "Bacterial small subunit ribosomal RNA", at positions 29 to 507 of the family's 1533-position model. The record is from RNAcentral.